CUGAGUUCGGGGGCAAUCCCAGUCCCGACCUCCAACCCUUUGUGAACAUAUCUUGUUGCUUCGGGGGCGACCCUGCCGUUCGCGGUAUUCCCCCCGGAGGUCAUCAAGACACUGCAUUAUUACGUCGGAGUAAAAAGUUAAUUUAAUA
RNAcentral lists this unclassified non-coding RNA (148 nucleotides) under uncultured Mycosphaerellaceae. The record is from RNAcentral. Lineage: Eukaryota; Fungi; Ascomycota; Dothideomycetes; Mycosphaerellales; Mycosphaerellaceae.